RNAcentral lists this small RNA (424 nucleotides) under Pan troglodytes (chimpanzee). RNAcentral describes it as "retained intron". The record is from RNAcentral. Lineage: Eukaryota; Metazoa; Chordata; Mammalia; Primates; Hominidae.
CGGCCUCGUCCUCUCAAAGUGCUGGGAAUACAGGCGUGAGCCACCACGCCCAGCCAAUUUUGAAUUACCUGAGUAGGGACAAUGUAACUUUUCUGGUACUCAGGUUCUCUAAGGAUCUUAAUCUGGCCCUGCUGGGACCCCUUUCUCCUAUAGUGUGAUUCUUGGAGCAAAUACCCGGCCAGACUUGGAUCUCCGAGACCCCAUCUGUGAUGACUUCUUCCAGUUGUGGCAAGACACGGCUGAGAGCAACGCCAAUAUCUAUGAGCAGAUCUUCCGCUGCCUGCCAUCCAAUGCCACGCGUUCCCUGCGGACUCUCCGGGAGUACGUGGCCGUGGAGCCCUUGGCCACGGUCAGUCCCCCCUUGGCUCGGUCUGAGCUCACCCAGGUCCAGGGCCACCUGGUCCACUUCCCCCUCAAGUUCCUA